This 357-nucleotide unclassified non-coding RNA is filed under the name soil metagenome. RNAcentral's name for it is "partial contains 5.8S ribosomal RNA, internal transcribed spacer 2, and large subunit ribosomal RNA". The stretch from base 1 to 119 matches the Rfam family "5.8S ribosomal RNA", at positions 35 to 154 of the family's 154-position model. The record is from RNAcentral.
GAUGAAGACGCAGCGAAAUGCGAUAAGUAAUGUGAAUUGCAGAAUUCAGUGAAUCAUCGAAUCUUUGAACGCACAUUGCGCCCGUCAGUAUUCUGGCGGGCAUGCCUGUUCGAGCGUCAUUACGCCCCUCAAGUCCCCUGUGGACUUGGUGUUGGGGAUCGGCGAGGCUGGUUUUCCAGCACAGCCGUCCCUUAAAUUAAUUGGCGGUCUCGCCGUGGCCCUCCUCUGCGCAGUAGUAAAACACUCGCAACAGGAGCCCGGCGCGGUCCACUGCCGUAAAACCCCCCAACUUUUUAUAGUUGACCUCGAAUCAGGUAGGACUACCCGCUGAACUUAAGCAUAUCAAUAAGCGGAGGA